GUCACAAACAAAAGCGCCAUUCUUAGCGAUAAUAGCAACAGUUACAAGCUCUGUUAAAAUCAACGGAAAGAAUGAGAUUAUUAAAACAUAUAGCGUCGGAAAGCUACAAAACUAGCAGUCUGACUCUCCAGAUCUCAGUCUCUGACGACUGUAGUCGGAAAGUGGUGCAGACGUCACAAGCGGGUGGCGACACCAGGGUGGUCCGCACAAAGCCCAGCGGAGACCUCCGCGACGUCCUCAAUAAGAGGCGCGCGCGGACCGGAAGCUCCCUUGGAGAGGCGACUCUUAGCUCCACGACUGGCUGUUGCGUUGAUAAGACUGGAGAUCUGCGCCAGGGUCUAAACGCGAUGCGCACGCAGCCAAAGUCUCAGUCAAACAUCAUCAGGUUUUUGCAACUAGCCUCAUAUUACCAGCUGAGCCUGCAGCUGGGCGGUGUGGGGUUAGAAAAUGGCUCCUCCAUUCUGUCCUAUCUGCCAUCUCUGGUGCCUGCUUCCGAUCUGUCUCGUGACGUCAUGGCACCAACUGCUCCCACGCGUUUCUCAGAAGAAGCGUUGAAGGAGGAACCUGUUCUCGCUCCGAGGAGGAUUUGGCGGAAGCGCUGCAGCAGCGUUUUCUCUGACGACGGAGCACCUGAAGUAGUUGUAAACACCGCAGACGAACCUCCUGCCAAGCGGGCCCGCCUCCAGGAGUGUUCUCGUUUUUUUCAGGUGGAAUCUUCCAUACGUUAGACCUGGAUUAUCUCUGGCUCCACUUUCUUUAGAUGGUGCAAGAGAUUACAGACCGUGAAUUUUCUUGAAACGUAACAAUUACCGUGCAAUGGAUAAUGAGGUCACUUUUUAGCUCGUGUCCGCGGCAUUCAGAUUGACCCCUUUCACUGGAGGUCUAACCCCUACGUUUGGCAGAGAGAGAGGACUACAGGUGUGAACAGAGGAGGUCAACCACUUUGGGCCGGGACCCCUACAUGUGGCGAUAGAAAGAGGAUCAGACCCCUGUCAGGCCCGCCACGUGUUACACGUGGAGGAGGCCGGACCCUUAGAGGGCGGCGAAUGCGCACUGCAUCUGUCGGCAUCAUUCGGUAUUCACGACUCUCAUUCCGACUUCGAUAUAUUAUAAUAUUUGAGAAAAUAAACCAAAAUGAUAUUAUAAUAAGUAAAUAAUCAGUUAUAAAAAAAAUGAAAAGGUACGAUUAGUCUUUGAGCAGAGACUUUUUGACGAUGCUGGAACAGCAUCGUCUAAGGUAUGAUAAGCAUAAACAAAUUCUUCACAAUGGCGACCUAUGUAAAAGACCGAGCCAGUCCGAUUGAGAUAACUCGAUUUUUCUAAUCGAAAUACCUCGACCUCGUUCAUUUUCAUAGAUAACAUUCUCCUAGCAGAGUUGUCGUUCGUGUUUCAACAUUCAACAAUGGCCGCCCCCAUGAGAGUCUCGAGUCAAAACUUUCUUACUGCUUAAAUUGGCUUGUUUCGCUAUUUAGAAGCUGUCAUUUAUUAUAUAUGAAUUAUUUAUUCACUAAAUUUCCGCUAAUGGCAACAAUGGACGGAAUUCGAAGGAUACGAUGUGAAUGGAUCACUUUCUACAACAAUGGCUUCGCCCAUGAGAGACUUGAUAACACUCGUGUCAAAACUUUCUUACAGCUUAAAUCGGCUUGUUUCGCUAUUUAGUAAUGCAACAAUAAAUGGAAUUCAAAGGAUAUAUUCAAUGUGAAUGAAGCACUUUCUUGAUCUCGACAGCUUGACAAGGCAAAACUGGCAUACUGAUGAUAUUGGUAUUUUAAGUUAUCAAUUUAAGUCAAAUUGGUGCUUUAUAAAUUUUGUUCGAGCAUUUUGCGACUUAUUGCAUUGCUAUGAUACCCGAUAUCAACAUGUCAUAUGGGAUUUGCAUAUCACCAAGCUGUCCUGAAAUACAACAUUGAUUACAAACUCUUUACUCAAAUUACUGGUUUGUAUGAAUGCUUUCUUCUUUCUAUUUAAGUACACAUAGUUGAUAUCAUUAUAGUCCAAAUAAUUAGACGUAAUAUACCGUUUAGUCCAUGUAUAUCGACCUCAUAUUUAUAGGAGUAGAUAUUAUGUUAAAGGGGCCUUUUCACAGAUUUUGACAUGUUUUGAAGUUAGUCAUUAAAUGCUUUAUAUUGAUAAAUGUAAACAUUGGAUCUUAAAAGCUCCAGUUGAAAAUCCAGAAUAAAAUUCUUUUAACAAGUAGUCCGCAGCAGGGCUCGAACCAGUGACCCCCUUAGUCCUGGAGUAAAAACACAUUAGCCUGCUCGACUAUUUUGCCAAGUAUAAAUGGUUGACGUAUUUUAUACCUUAUAUAAGCAAUCUUCGUAGUUUCACACAAUUAAACAACAACAACAUAACUCUCCAAAUUAUUCAAUCGUUUCACGUUGCAACGCUUUAUAAUUUUUAAAUCGUUAAAAGAUGCAUAUAAUGGCUAUAUUGGACCAUGGUAAAUGUUCAGUAAUACUGUUUCCUAAAAAUAACAUAACUAAAACGAAAAUUUGCGAAUCCUAUACAACUUUUUUAAUUUUUUGUCAAUUUACCAAAACGUGAAAAGAUCCCUUUAAAGUUAAAUUAACUGUAUCCCAGUCAAAGAGACAUUAAGGCGAUUGUGGCCAUUUUAGAUCUAGUUCAGCCUGCAGCUGCUUGAAAGCUGUUUGCUUAAGAGCGGUACAAUGACACAUAGUUUAAUUGGAUACUGAUUAGAUUGCCCUUUUCCUGUGACCUGGCUAAUUAAAUUCAGAAGCCUGCUGGUAACAGUUUAACGUUAAUGUUACCAAUGUGUCAGACCAGGGCCUGGAUUUUGAAAUCUAGGACAUGCAUGGUCAGAAGAUGUCAUUUAAGAUAAUACAUUUUUUCAAACACAUACAAAUGCAUACAAAUAUAAAUAGUAAACUGCACUAAGUCAGAAGGCAUUUGACUUCGGCUUGUGCCUUGGCACACCAGGUGUUUCGGUUGAUUUUUUCAAACAUAAAUAAUUGAUGUAAAAUGCUUGAAGGAAUAAUAUUUAAGGUUUAAAAAGGAAUUUUCUUUUUGUUUUAAAGGAUAUCUUUGAAAAUUAUAUUUUUAUGAAUUUUUUGGCAACAAGGGGUAACGCAUUUUUAAAAAAGGUAAUAAAUUUUCUGACAAAAAACUGGUACCAUGAGUAGCAUGAAACAAUAAUUUUUUUAAACAUUUGUAAUUGAUAAAAAAUGAUUGCAAAAAUAAUAUCUAGGGUCUAAUAAAGCAUUUUUUAUUUUAUUUUAAUACGUUUCUCUGAAAAUUCUAUUUUUCAUGAUUUUUUUUUGCAACCAGGGGUUAUGAAAAAAAAAAAUGUUACUUGAUUUUUAGACCAAAACUGGUACUAUGAUAAUACUAUGAUGCACUUCGCCAAAACAUUUAUAAUUAUAUUGUUUAUUCUUGAAAAUGUAUUUCCCCUAUUCACUAAAAAUAACACUUUUGAUCAGAAAAUUCAUAUAUAAUGAUGUUUACUUUUAUUUUCAAGAAGCAUAAUGCCUCUUUUUAGUUGUAUUUAGCCACACGUUCUUGUCAGCCACUUCAGGGUUAUAUGUUGCCUUUCUUAUACUAAAUGCAAAAUAAUUCUAUACUUUGAGACAUUCAUAAAUUAUUUUAUGUCUUUACGACACCGACAGGCUAAUAAAUGUAUAUAUCAAGUACUUCCAUACUAACAGGACCAUUCUGGGCGGGCAACCUAGCAACCUUGAUUUGUUCCUAUCUUCCUAUCAAUCUGUUAUAUGUGUUAUGAAUCAUUUGUUCUGAGAACCUUUAAUGUUUUUUAUAACUUUUAAAUAAUUCAAUGUUCAAAGUGAUAUUGUUAUUGACCGAUAAACCAACAUACUGAUUAAAAGGGAAUAUUUUAUUAAUUAUUUGCAUUUUAUCUUACAUGAGAAAUAUUUGCCUAAAUGAUUUCAAACUAAUGAAACUAUAGAAAAAUCUAUAUACAGUUAAAAAUUGACGACGUUUAUAAAAAAAAACCUUCAUGAAAUGGAAGUUUAAAGAUAAAAUUAAAUAAUGCAAGUUUUAUCAGAUAUUCGUAAUAAUUUCCAAUAUAAUUGAGUGUCUGAGCAAUGUGGAUGAAUGAAUAUAUCAGAUAAAACGAACACUUGUCUACACUUGAAUUAUGAUUUAUUUUUCAAUAUUUUAUGCACUUAAGUUUAGCCUUAAUGCGUUUUUAUAAGCAUUUAAAGACAGUGUCCCUCCCCAAAAUCAAGGAAUUAUUACUUGUCGUUCAUUUGUGUAAUGGUAUACAAUAAUUGUGUGGUAGAAUAUUUGAGAAAAACAUUAGAAUCAAAACUUGUCAGUGAUGAAAUUUUCCAUAUGGUUAUGGAAUUACCGAUCGUCGGUUUCCAAAAAACAAUACGUCACGGUUUCCAAAAAUAUGAUGGUUUUGCCCAAGGAUUUUGGGGUAAUGAACAUUAUUGGUUUAUAUUUUAAUAAUUUCGAUUCUCAUUUGAUUAAUAGGUAAUUUCAAGACUGAAAUUGAAAUAUGCAAGCUAUUCUUUCGUUUUGCAUAUGUCUGUCGAUACAUCUGUACAAUCGGUAAUUUCCGAAACCAUUCGUUAAAUUGUAGCAGACACAAGUUUAAAUUAAAAAAAUUAUGUUUUACACUAAUAUUCUACCUCUUUCUUGCUAAAAACUAAUGCAUGAAUGAUUUAAAAGUAAUAUUGCAUCGUUUUCAGCCAGGAACACUGUCAAUGACCACGAAAAAAAACAUAACAAACUUUUUGAUUUACGAUAUUUACUUUAUAAAUAGCUUGCAUGCGGCAUGGCAUUGCAUGUUCCGCAAGAUAAAUAUCUCGACUUUAUUUAUUGGAUGAUUUCGGACUGUUUCAUCCAAUCAGAAAAUAGCUUUGAAACGUUAUUUAGACCCAUGUUUAGCGAGAUAAUUAAGUACCACAUUUUAUACACUGCCAAAUUGUGACAUAACAAGUUGCCUCCCUUGUUGGUUCAUGCUACUGUAUUAUUAUGCCCCCCCCCUUUCGAAGAAGAGAGGGUAUACUGUUUUGCACAUGUCGGUCCGUAUGUCCGUCCACCAGAUGGUUUCCGGAUGAUAACUCAAGAAUGCUUAUGCCUAGGUUCAUGAAACUUCAUAGGUACAUUGAUCAUGACUCGCAGAUGACCCAUAUUGAUUUUGAGGUCACUAGGUCAAAGAGCAAGGUCACGGUGACCCGAAAUAGUAAAAUGGUUUCCUGAUGAUAACUCAAGAACGCUUAUGCCUAGGAUCAUGAAACUUCAUGUGUAGAUUGAUCAUGACUCACAGAUGACCACUGUUGAUUUUGAGGUCACUAGGUCAAAGGUCAAGGUUAUGGUGACCCGAAAUAGUAAAACGGUUUCCGGAUGAUAACUCAAGAACGCUUAUGCCUAGGAUCAUGAAACUUCAUAGGUACAUUGAUCAUGACUCGCAGAUGACCCAUAUUGAUUUUGAGGUCACUAGGUCAAAGAGCAAGGUCACGGUGACCCGAAAUAGUAAAAUGGUUUCCUUAUGAUAACUCAAGAACGCUUAUGCCUAGGAUCAUAAACUUCAUGUGUAGAUUGAUCAUGACUCACAGAUGAACACUAUUGAUUUUGAGGUCACUAGGUCAAAGGUCAAGGUUAUGGUGACCCGAAAUAGUAAAAUGGUUUCCUGAUGAUAACUCAAGAACGCUUAUGCCUAGGAUCAUAAACUUCAUGUGUAGAUUGAUCAUGACUCACAGAUGAACACUAUUGAUUUUGAGGUCACUAGGUCAAAGGUCAAGGUUAUGGUGACCCGAAAUAGUAAAAAGGUUUCCGGAUGAUAACUCAAGAACGCUUAUGCCUAGGUUCAUAAAACUUCAUAGUUUCAUUGAUCAUGACUUGCAGAUGAACCCUAUUGAUUUUGAGGUCACUAGGUCAAAGGUCAAGGCAACGGUGACCCGAAAUAGAAAAAAGGUUUCCGGAUGAUAACUCAAGAACGCUUAUGCCUAGGAUCAUGAAACUUCAUAGGUUCAUUGAACAUGACUCGCAGAUGAACCCUAUUGAUUUUCAGGUCACUAGGUCAGAGGUCAAGGUCACGGUGACCCGAAAUAGUAAAAUGGUUUCCUGAUGAUAACUCAAGAACGCUUAUGCCUAGGAUCAUGAAACUUCAUGUGUAGAUUGAUCAUGACUCACAGAUGACCCCUUUUGAGGUCACUAGGUCAAAGAUCAAGGUCACGGUGACCCGAAAUAAAUAAAUGGUUUCCGGAUGAUAACUCAAGAACGCUUAUGCCUAGGAUCAUGAAACUUCAUAGAUACAUUGAUCAUGACUCGCAGAUGAUCCCUAUUGAAUUUCAGGUCACUAGGUCAAAGGUCAAGGUCACGGUGACCUGAAAUAGUAAAAUAGUUUCCGGAUGAUAACUCAACAACGUUUAUGCCUAGGAUCAUGAAACUUCAUAGGUACAUUGAUCAUGACUCGCAGAUGAUCCCUAUUGAAUUUCAGGUCACUAGGUCAAAGGUCAAGGUCACGGUGACAUGCAAUAGUAAAAUGGUUUCCGGCUGAUAACUCAAGAACGCUUACGCCUAUGAUCAUGAAACUUCAUAGCUACAUUGAUCAUGACUCGCAGAUGACCCCUAUUGAUUUUCAGAUCACUUAGUCAAAGGUCAAGGUCUCAGUGCCAAAAAAAGUAUUCACACAAUGGCUGCCACUACAAAUGACAGCCCAAUUGGGGGCAUGCAUGUUUUACAAACAGCCCUUGUUUCAAAAAUAUUUUCAUGUAGUAUACUUAUAUUGAUAUUUACAAAAUUGAUGCAUAUGAAUGAUAGACUUUACUGAAAUCAUUUUAAUGAUACUGAAAUCAUGACAGUGAAUUAAUACUGAUUAUUAUUUAAUAUAUUUUGCUUGAUACAAUCAUGUACAUCUAUAUCAAAUGAGAUCAUACUGUAACUUCAGUGAUGAAUUUCAGUUAACUAAAUUAAAUCCAAAAUAUAAGUAACUCCUAUAUUUCUCCCGCAGCGCGCACACCUAAACAUCCUGCUGUGUACCUAUCCAGAUCCAGAUAAAAAGAUAUGAUACAUAAUUAUCCCCACGUUUUUCAAUGAAAAAGUGGGGAUAUUGUAUUGAUGUGGGUCUGUCCGUCCGUCCGUCCUGGCCACCUGCUCCUCCUACACUAUUAGCACUAGAACUUUGAAACUUACAUACAUGGUAGCUUUGAGCAUAUGUGCGACGGUGACAGUUACGGAAUUUUGAUCUGACCCCUGGCUCAAAAGUUAUGGGGGUUGGGGCGGGGCCGGGUCAGAGAUUUUCACUCAUUUUUUUAAUGUUAUUUUCAUUAACUUCUUCAUUUCUUCACCGAUUUACUUCAAAUUGAUACUGAGCCUCUCUUAUGACACUAAGGUCAAUCUCAACUAUGCAUGGCCCCAUAACCAACCCUGGGGCGCCCCGGCCACAUAGGCCACGCCCACCCAAAAUUACCUUUUACUAUAAUUUCUUAAUUUCUGCACCGAUUCACUUCAAAUUGAUACUGAACCUCUCUUAUGACAAUACGGUCAAUCUCAGCUAUGCAAGGCCCCAUUACCAACCCUUGGGCGCCCCGCCGCCCACAUAGGCCACGCCCACCCAAAAUUGCCUUUUACUAUAAUUUCUUCAUUUCUACACUGAUUCACUUCAAAUUGAUACUGGACCUCUCUUAUGACAAUACAGUUAAUCUCAACUAUGCAUGGCCCAUGACCAACCCUGGGGCGCCCCGCCCACAUAGGCCACGCCCAACCAAAAUUGCCUUUUACUAUAAUUUCUUUAUUUCUACACCGAUUCACUUCAAAUUGAUACUGAACCUCUUUUAUAACAAUACGGUCAGUCUCAACUGUGCAUGGCGCCAUUACCAACCCUGGGGUGCCCCGCCCACAUAGGCCACGCCCACCAAAAAUUGCCUUUUACUAUACUUUCUUCAUUUUUACACCGAUUUACUUCAAAUUGAUACUGAACAUCUCUUAUGACAAUACAGUCAAUCUCAACUAUGUAAGGCCCCAUAACCAACCCUGGGGCGCCCCGCCCAUAAUAGGCUACACCCACCCAAAAUUGUCUUUUACUAUAAUUUCUUCAUUUCUACACCGAUUCACUUCAAAUUGAUACUGAACCUCUUUUAUGACAAUACAGUCAAUCUCAACUAUGCAUGGCGCCAUUACCAACCCUGGGGCGCCCCGCCCUCAUAGGCCAUGCCAAUCCAAAAUUGCCUUUUACUAUAAUUUCUUUAUUUCUACACCGAUUCACUUCAAAUUGAUACUGAACCUCUUUUAUAACAAUACGGUCAGUCUCAACUGUGCAUGGCGCCAUUACCAACCCUGGGGUGCCCCGCCCACAUAGGCCACGCCCACCAAAAAUUGCCUUUUACUAUACUUUCUUCAUUUUUACACCGAUUUACUUCAAAUUGAUACUGAACAUCUCUUAUGACAAUACAGUCAAUCUCAACUAUGUAAGGCCCCAUAACCAACCCUGGGGCGCCCCGCCCAUAAUAGGCUACACCCACCCAAAAUUGUCUUUUACUAUAAUUUCUUCAUUUCUACACCGAUUCACUUCAAAUUGAUACUGAACCUCUUUUAUGACAAUACAGUCAAUCUCAACUAUGCAUGGCGCCAUUACCAACCCUGGGGCGCCCCGCCCUCAUAGGCCAUGCCAAUCCAAAAUUGCCUUUUACUAUAAUUUCUUCAUUUCUACACCGAUUUACUUCAAAUUGAUACUGAACAUCUCUUAUGACAAUAAGGUCAAUCUCAACUAUGUAUGGUCCCUUUACCAACCCUGGGGCGCCCCGCCCAUAAUAGGCCACACCCACCCAAAAUUGUCUUUUACUUUAAUUUCUUCAUUUCUACACCGAUUCACUUCUAAUUGAUACUGAACUUCUCUUAUGACAAUACGGUCAAUCUCAACUAUGCAUGGCGCCAUUUCCAACCAUGGGGCGAUCCUUGGUCAAACAUGCGGCGUGGGGAUAUGCGUCGGCCUCUGCCGCGCCAUUUCUAGUUAUGUAUUAUAUUGUUCAGAGGAGAUGAUUUUACCUCUGUUGUAUCAAUGUUUUGUUUUACUUCUUUAAUCAGUGUUUUUAAAGAUAUAUAAACAUAGCUCCAGGGUCUUUGCUUCAGGCAUUGAAUAUUUCAUAUCCUGAUCUCUUUUUCUAAUGGAUAUUUUAACUAGUUCCUACAUUCAAUACAGUCAAAUAUAUGUUAAGUAGUAUCUGUACACAUUGGUAGAUUAAAUUUGUACAUCAAAUAUUAUUUUUUAAUUGUUUUAAAAAGAUAUAGUUAAAAUAUUCAUACUAGAUUAAUUUAGAACCUUAGUCAUGUCACGGAGAUCUAGAGUCCGUGGUCAUGUGGUAAUUAAACAUUUUUAAAUAUAACCACUUUUAUAUGGAGUCCUGACCAGAUCUCAAAUGCAUAAUCCUUUUCUCUGUCAACCUGGUCAUCCCCUAUCAAAUGGCAAAUUAUAUGCUGAAUCGUUCUUUAUACACAAUGGUUGAAUGAAAAAAUUGACAUCAUUUUCACAUGGAAAUUUCACUUUGACAGUCAUGGAAAAAGAGCCUGCACAACACAGAUCAAAAAUACUUUUUAUUUGUGGAUAAUCCCAUAUCUUGAAACUCUAUGUGCAUAAAUAUCUCAAGUCUUCAUGAAAUCAGGACAACAAAAAUGUUUUUUUAAGUUCUAAAUUGAUCUGGCUAUAGUAAUCAGAUUAUUAUAAGCUCAAUUAGUCUAGUUAUGUCAUAUGCUUUGUGUAUUGUAAACAUACACACAAUAUUGCAGGUACAUGAUAGCAAUAAAUAAUAACAAAGCCAUCCAUACUAUAAAGGUCAAUGGCAAAGCCUGUGAGAAAAAUUUGAACGCAUUGAAUGUAAUCACACAACCUGCUCAUGGUGAGCUUUUGUGAUCGCUUUAUGGCCGUCGUGAGCCGUCAACAUUUGCCUUGUUAACUCUGUGGAUGCCAUGUUUAUAUUCCAAUCUUCAUAAAAUUUGGCCAGAAUAUAAGUCUCAAUGAUAUCUUUGAUCAGUUCGAAAAUGGUUACAAUUGGUUGAAAAACAUGGCUGCCAGGCCCUUGGGGUGGGGCAUUUUUCCUUAUAUUGCUAUAGUAAAACAUUGUUAACACUCAAGAGGUCACGUUUAUUUUCCGAUCUUCAUGAAUUUUGGUCACAAUAUUUGUCCCAAUACUAUCUUGUUAUCUCAGGUGAACGACUUUGGGCCUUUCAGGCCCUCUUGUUUGUUCAUCUUACCAUUUAAAUAAAAGAUAUCAUUGCACAGAUGUCUUUUACUUUUAGAAUGUGUUGUGCUGUAUUAAUUGUGUGGCUUGUUCGGGGGUAUAUUGUUUAGCACAUGUCGGUCAGUCCGUCAGUCGGUCCGUCCACCAGAUGGUUUUCGUAUGAUAUUAGGCCUAGGAUCAUGAAACUUCAUAGGUACAUUGAUCAAGACUGCCAGAUGAACCCUAUUGAUUUUCAGGUCACUAGAUAAAAGGGUAAGGUCACAGUGACUAGAAUGCUUAGGCCUAGGAUCAUGAAACUACAUAGGUACAUUGAUCAUGACUGGCAUAUGACCCCUAUUGAUGUUCAGGUCAUUAGGUCAAAGGUCAAGGUCACAGUGAGUCAAAACAGUUUAAUGAUUUCCGGAUGAUAACUCAAGAAUGCUUACGUCUAGGAUCAUGAAACUUCAUAGGUACAUUGAUCAUGACUUGCAGAUUACUCCUAUUGAUGUUAAGGUCACUAGGUCAAAGGUCAAGGUCAAAGUGACUCAAAACAGUAAACUAGUAUCCGGAUGAUAACUCAAAAAUGCUUACGCAUAGGACAAUUAAACUUCAUAGGUACAUUGAUCAUGACUGGUAUAUAACCCUUAUUGAUUUUCAGGUCACUUGGUCAAAGGUCAAUGUCACAGUGACUCAUAACAGUAAAAAGGUUUCCUGAUGAUAACUCAAGAAUAGUAAGGCCUAGGAUCAUGAAACUUCAUAGGUUAAUUGAUCAUGACUGGCAGGUGAUCCCUAUUGAUUUUCAGGUCACUAGGUGAAAGGUCAAGGUCACAGUGACAAAAAAUGUAUUCACACAAUGGCUACCACUACAACUGACAGCCCAUAUGGAGGGCAUGCAUGUUUUACAAACAGCCCUUGUUUGUCUUAUGUUGGUAAAUGUUCAUCUCGGUCAAUUCUAGGUUAAGUUUGAAAGUAGGUCAUAUGUGGUCCAAACUAGGUCAACAAACCAAAUCACAGAAAAGGUUAGUGAACACUCCAGAGGUCACAUUUUCUUCCAGAUCUUCAUGAAAUUGGACAGAAUAUUAUCUCGAUGAAAUAAAGUUUCAUUUUGAAAGUUGGUAGUUUGUCAAAAACUAGGUCAUUAGGUCAAAAUAUAGAAAAAUUCCUUUACCUUUCUACAGGUCACAUUAUCUUCCUGAUUUUCAUAAAAAUAGCUUACAAUAUCCAUCUUAAUCAAAUCAAAAGCGGAAUUUGCAAGUUGGUCAUGUGCAGGCUUAAGCUAGGUUACAACUUACUCAAAUCAUACACAAGUUUUUGACACAAUAAAAGGAGUUUUGGGUGAGUGAUACAGGGCUAUCUUGUUUUAGAACAGCCUGUAGUAAGACAGGGAAGGUAUUGUAUUUGUUGCAAAAGUAACAUUUUAUUGUUAUUGGAAGUACCUGAGCAAUUAUAUGAUGUCAUAGUUUUGGUUAUUUUGCUCACUUGUUAUGAUGUGACAAUGUGAGCUUUUGUUAUCAUUUUGUUAUUAUUGUUGUAUUUUAUCCACAGUUUAUUGUGGACACAUAAGAUAUCAUUUUACAAUGUUUAAAUUUGGGUGUCACCUCUUUGCCAGAUUCUUAUGAAACUAGUCACCUCUAUGUCAUUUUGGGUUUCAUAUUCUAUCAAAAAUUAGGGCACUAUGUCAAAUAUAAGAAAAGGUCUGUUAAUACUUUAGUGGUCACAUUCUCUCUCACUGAUCCACUUGUAAAUUGGUUAGAACAUUAUUUUAAAUGAUUUCAAAGUCAAGCUUGAAAGUAGCAUACAAGUAUUCAACAUUUAGGUCACAAGGUCUAGUCUCAGUGAUUAACAGGUCACGUUCCAAAGUGGGUCAUGUGCUUCCAAGCAUUUGAUCAAUAACUAAAAUCAUUAAAAUCUAUGUUAACAUUUACAUUGUUUACCUAAUCGUCAUGGCAGUUGAUCAGAAUGUUCAAAUAAAUAAAAGUAGAACCUCGGUAACAAGGCCCAACUAGAUCGGAUAGACGCAAAUAGUUUAUUCAUACUCACAAUGCCUUUUUUCUAGAUCUUCAUGAAAAAUUAGUUAACACCACUAGGAAACAAUCAAUUUCAGGUGAGCCACAUUGUGCUGUUAAAGCUAUCUAUGUAUAGUAUAGAUUGUUACAAAACCUUGUUUAUCAAUAAAAAUAAAUGAAAAAAAUGGCUUUCUAAAAGUUAUAGUCUUUGAUGAUAUAUUCCUCAACUUAUAAUCUACGACAAUCUUUUGAGAGAAAAACAAAAUUUGACUAUUAUUAUACCCCAACAUACUGUGAUUGGGGGCUAGCACAGGAAUUCUCAAUUAUGUUCCUCGAAAAAUAAUGGGUUAGCAUAUUGUUGCUGUUUUAUCCAGUUGCCUGGCCCUUUACUCCCAAAAGAAUUGUAAGUUCAAAUAUGAGAUAUUUAGGUAAAUAAAUAUCAUGGAAGAGAUUGCAGUGUCCAAGAACGAAAACGAUUGCACAACAACCAUUAACUAUUGACCUGCGGAUAAAUGACAAGCAAUAAAAAUUACACAAUUGCGGUGAUGUAGAUUAACUUAAAUGGAUGCUUAUUUAUUUUAUGCUUUCCGGUGAUUUAUACAGAAAUAUCAGUGAAAUAAACUGGUAUUUCACUGUUUUAAACAGUGAAAAAUAACGGUGAAAAUACCGAUAUUUUUCGCUGUUUUUCUGGGAAAAUCGAUAUUCCACCGAAUCAACAAAUAUCCUCUAUAUAUCCAUCCUCUUCAAAAGCAUCGUCAAACCAGUACUUUCAGUACUUUGAUUUCAAAAUUUAUUAAUGUAAGAUUGUUUUAUUGAAGUUCGUGAAUACCGGUACGUCCGACUUACCUGUGCCUUUCAGUCAAUAUCUUUAGAAAUCAGUAGACAAUUUGAAUAUUAUCUUUAUCUUAUAAUUGCGUAGUUAAUUCGAAAUCCUUUAUUAGACAGUUGAUUAUAUUCAAAUAAAUUUGGUCGUCGUUCUGUCCAUAAUCUUGUCCACGCAAUGCCUUCUAUAUGCAUACAGAGUAUAAUUGCCACGCACACGAAUCACAUCUUAACCAUAUAAACAAAUGUCAAAUACUUAUCUUGAUUGUGCAUGAAGAAGUUAUCCAUUUCUUAUUAUCCACGUGCAUUUAAGGUUUUCAUGGUUACUGUUUUAUAAGAAGUUAGUUAAGAGGAUACGUUAACUAGUUAUUAGUUUGCUGGUAACUUUGAUUAAGCUUUGAAUAAGUCAGAUAAUUAACUUGUAUGUGUUGUUAUGCU
Molecule: long non-coding RNA, 13405 nt
Organism: Dreissena polymorpha
Lineage: Eukaryota; Metazoa; Mollusca; Bivalvia; Myida; Dreissenidae
Exons: 4
Source: RefSeq, a predicted model, not a curated record